AUUGAACGCUGGCGGCAUGCUUUACACAUGCAAGUCGAACGGCAGCGCGGGCUUCGGCCUGGCUGCGAGUGGCGAACGGGUGAGUAAUGCAUCGGAACGUGCCCAGCAGUGGGGGAUAGCCCGGCGAAAGCCGGAUUAAUACCGCAUACGACCUGAGGGUGAAAGCGGGGGACCGAAAGGCCUUGCGCUAUUGGAGCGGCCGAUGUCGGAUUAGCUAGUUGGUGGGGUAAAGGCUUACCAAGGCGACGAUCCGUAGCUGGUCUGAGAGGACGACCAGCCACACUGGAACUGAGACACGGCCCAGACUCCUACGGGAGGCAGCAGUGGGGAAUUUUGGACAAUGGGGGCAACCCUGAUCCAGCCAUGCCGCGUGCGGGAAGAAGGCCUUCGGGUUGUAAAGCGCUUUUGUUCGGGAAGAAAUCCUCUGGGCUAAUACCCCGGGGGGAUGACGGUACCGGAAGAAUAAGCACCGGCUAACUACGUG
RNAcentral lists this ribosomal RNA (484 nucleotides) under uncultured bacterium. RNAcentral describes it as "partial 16S ribosomal RNA". It matches the Rfam family "Bacterial small subunit ribosomal RNA", at positions 29 to 507 of the family's 1533-position model. The record is from RNAcentral.